AUCAAUUAACUUCACCCAUUCACUUGUUUUGGCUUUGUCCAUUGUUAAUCUUUUCAUGCAUUAGCCGUAGGUUUCAAUUAUCAUUGUGGUUGAUGUAAAUCUUGCCUAUCCUUAGUGAGUCGACAGUAAGACUUCCGUACUGAAAACAGGGCUAACCCCUCUAGUACGUCGAAGCUAUCCUCGCAUGGUGGAUGUUGGUCUUGGUCG
RNAcentral lists this long non-coding RNA (207 nucleotides) under Lathyrus oleraceus (garden pea). Its description in RNAcentral is "Pisum sativum (pea) long non-coding RNA (PSAT_LNC041726)". Lineage: Eukaryota; Viridiplantae; Streptophyta; Magnoliopsida; Fabales; Fabaceae. The record is from RNAcentral.